This 46-nucleotide non-coding RNA is filed under the name Schistosoma mattheei. Lineage: Eukaryota; Metazoa; Platyhelminthes; Trematoda; Strigeidida; Schistosomatidae. The record is from RNAcentral.
GUACUGCUGAGGAGUCCCACAACAGGACGAAACGGCCGUCCAGUAC